Molecule: RNA transcript, 6013 nt
Organism: Portunus trituberculatus (swimming crab)
Lineage: Eukaryota; Metazoa; Arthropoda; Malacostraca; Decapoda; Portunidae
Gene name: protein abrupt-like
Exons: 7
Source: RefSeq, a predicted model, not a curated record
GUGGUGAGCGGGGGGAAUGUUUUGGGGGCGGCCAUGUUCCUCCUCCUCUUCUUGUGGCCUCUCUUCGCCAUCUUGGGUGUUUGAAGGCGGGCGGCGGGCUGGUGGUGGUGGUGGUGCUGCUGGCUAGGCGAGGCGAGGCGAGGGGCAGGGCACACGCACACACCGUACAGGGGCGGCGCCGACCCUACCGACCAGUGCCACGGUGGUUGUGUUAUGGGGCUUGGUGGUCCAGGUGUGCGGGAGUCGUGGGACGGAAGGAUUAUGGCUGAACAGCAGUUCUGCCUACGGUGGAACAACUUCCAGGCGAACAUAGUAUCAUCGUUUGAAACCUUACUAGACCGAGAAGAGUUUGUAGAUGUAACGUUAACAGCAGAGGGAAAAUCACUCAAAGCUCACAGGGUUCUUCUAUCAGCAUGCAGCCCAUAUUUCAGAGACCUAUUUCGGGAUCUCCCAGCCCAUCAGCAUCCAGUCAUAGUGUUGCGUGAUACAAGUUUCCUAGAGUUAAAAUCCUUACUGAGCUUCAUAUACCAUGGGGAAGUUAAUGUAUCUCAAGAAAGGCUGGGACUCCUUCUCAAGACAGCAGAGGCACUUAGAAUUAAAGGACUUGCUCAAGACAAUAGAACCACAGAAAAUGAACCAUUUGGGAGCCUCGCUAGUAGUCCUAAGAAGGAAACUGAAGAAGGCAUGGAUAGAGGAGAGCGACGUGGAGGGGGUCCUGGAUCCCCUGCACUAAGCCUUGCCUUCUCUGGUGUUGGUGGGUCUGCCCUGGCCCCCGUCAACCCUCUCGUUCCCCUGGAGCCACCAAGCCACAAGUCACACCAUCUCUUGCUCUCACCACCAGCCAAGCGUCGAAAACCACUACACUCACCACUUGGAGGUCCCCCACCCACACAACGAGAAAAUUCAAUCCUACCUAUACCACCUGUUACCUCCACUGCCUCUCAAGAUGAUGACAGAACUAAUAGGGUAAUCAACCUGACCAUGGCCGCCAGCAGCUCUGGUAGUGCUAACUCUCCAUCCCCAAGAUUAGUACCCAAGACAGAAUUAAAUGUAUCUGAGGAGGAUGGCCCUGGUAGAGGUAGCAGCAGCAGUGGUGGUGGUGGUAGUGGUGGUGGUGGUGGAGGUGCUGGAGGUGGUGAAGGUAGUAGUGACCAUGAGGCUGAAGAGCCAUAUGAUGAUGACUCUAUAGACCAUGAUGUUAAAGGUCCAGACCUGCAUGGAUUACCACAACACCUCUCAGCAGCAGUACAAAACUUUGUGCCAUAUGCAGCAGCAGUAGCAGCAGGAUCCUCGCAGCUGGAAACCUUCCCUGGGCCGUCAGGAGUCUUACCUCCCGCUAGUCAAGCAGGGUGGAGGGGGAGCCAUACAGAACCCAGUGACACCUCAGCUCAAGACAGUCAUGGGCCUCUUUCAUCUCUGCACUCCUCCCCCGUGUCUCUGUUCUUCCCCCCGCGUACCUGGUCAACCUCGUCGGCUGGCUUGCGUCCCCAGCUCUCUCUUCCCCCAUUGGCCCCUCUCACCUUCCCUCCAUCUUCCUCAUCUUCUCACGGCUCCUCAGCAGCAGCAGUGGCAGCCGUGGCCGCCCAGUUCUCUCCUCUGCGCCCCAGAACUCUCCGGCCAUCUCACCGACCAGCCCACUGUCCUGCAUGUGGUCGAUAUUUCACUUUUGGACACAAUAUGAAGGCUCAUCUGAAACGUUGCCCCAAAAAUGCUCAUCGACCUACUCUGGUUACCUCAGUCACUUCGGUCAUCUCAACCCCUGCCACUACAACUUCCGUCAAACCAGAACUGGACACCAACCAUACCUCUCCGUCCGUUUCACCCUCCAUCCUGGCGGAGAAACUUACUGCUGAUAGUGGAGAAAGUCUUAAGGCAGCCUCAAAUUAACUCAAAAGACUUAUAUUCUCAGUCUAGAGGAAUAGUAAUUCAUAAAGCUACUCGCUGAUCUCCAAAUUACGGAGAUUUGCACAUGAAUGAAAACUCCUAGAUAUGUAAUUUAGUCAAUUGUAAAAUUUCACAAAUAUCAAGAUGUGGAAUAGUUUGUCCCUUAAAUAAUUAGAAUGCGUCCUCCAUGUUAACAAGAUUGCAGUAAACAGACUGAAAUUGUGUAUUGGUGGUUGUGCUGUACUAUAGCUUAUGCCAGGUAAUUUUGCUCAUGUGUGUGCCAACAAUUUUUUUACCUGGGAAGAAUGCCAUCCCAGUUCAACAUCUUAUAUGUUCCUACGAACCAUGACAAACAAAGCCAUGUUGCUUUAGAAUGGUUCAGUAACUCCUGUAUUCAUGCCACAUUUCUACAAAAGUAGGUGAAAUGUAUAAAUUAUUAGAUAUAGGAGACUGUACCUACCAUACUAAAGUGAACAUUUGGCAUUUAGUCUGCAGAAAAAAAGCAGCUUUAUCUAUCCAUGACAAGUUGGAGACAAUUUUUUAAGGGUUAUUAGUACUUAAGAUGAUUUAAGGUUAAACUGUAAGAGUGAUUUUGACUAACGAGGAAUCUCCUUAACAUUGUGCCAUAUAACAUGCUAAGUCACACAUAGUUUCUAAGAUGCUGCGAGCAUAAUUAUUAAUACUCACGAAUGAAUUUGUUGGGAGAAUUUGCUGGAUUUGGUAAUUUAGUUGUAGAUUGCUUAGUUUGUUGUUUUAGCUUUUUUACUAGUUUUGAGUAGACAUAGUAAUUUGUAGUGUUUUAUUAUUGUUUUGAGGACUUUAAAUUAUUCUAUCCCAACACUCAGGAAAAUAAGCCUAGCAAAUUUUCUCAUCAUUCUAGGGCAAAUGCAGCUAACUCUGCAAGCUUCAAUUUUCAUCCUCAUAUUGUGUAAUUCCGAUGGUCCACAAACUUGUUAGUUCUCUCUAUAGAACCCUUAUCUUUGAACCUUUUUUGAUAAAAAAAAUAAUAAUAAUGAAAUAGUGGCCUUCAUAUAAAUGCACACACAAAUUAAUUCAAAUUUACCGAAGUUGUUGACUCUUUGUACAUCCUAAUGAAGUCCCAGCAUAAAUAAUUAUUAACUUUGAUGAAGUAUGUUGGAAGUAUCCUCCAUUCCUGAUGUGCUUAUCAUUGCAACAAGUGCUUACUACUUCCUGUAUGCACUUUCAAAUGCAGUAUGAUUCUAAGAUAGCUUUUUGGUACAGUAACUUUUUAGAAAUCUCCAAAGAAACGUAGAUGUAUAUGGGCGGCCACACUUUUAAUGAACAACACAUUAUACCUCUUGUGAUGGUUCUUCAGCAUACAGGACAUUUUACACAGACAUAUUCUUCAGAAUUGUUUCUUUCAUUAGUAGAUUUUCAAGUGUGAUGUCAUGCACUACAUCUCAUAUAAAAGAUUAAUUUAUACAUAUAUGAAGCUAUGCAAACACUUAUUCACUGUCAUCAUCACUGUAGAUGAAGAUUCUCACUGUUUUUCCACUUGUUAACUCAAAUUAAUGGAAUUCACAAUUAUGGAAAAAAAUGGAUUUUUAUAGAUAUUUCAGCAACUCAGACCACUAGAUGUAACUUGUCUGAGAAUUUGAUGUUUAUAUAAUGAAUGAACAACUAUACAGAACACAUGAAAAAUUAUAUUGGAAAUGUUACUGGUAACAUCUGACACAUUUAUUGGAAAGAUAUUCAAUAUGCAUAAAGUACUUAUAAUUUGAAAUGGAGGGAGGACCCACAUCUCAUAUUUCAUUAUUACAGUUAUGUUUGACUUCCAAUGGGAUACACAUCAAGAGUAAUGCUUUUUAGAUAGUGUGUGUGUGUGUGUGUGUGUGUGUGUGUGUGUGUGUGUGUGUGUGUGUGUGUGUGUGUGUGUGUGUGUGUGUGUGUGAAAUAAGACAGUUUGUGUAUGUUGAGAUUGAGAGAGAGGGAGUGAGAAAGAAAGGCUGUAAUCAUAAUAUGGAUAUUAUUGUGACUAUCAUUAACUUUGGAAGUAUUAUUGUUGCAUAAUAUUAAUGAUGCUUUCACACACAAAUUUCAUAAGUCAAACUCAAUGAACAAGUUUCAAAGUAAAAUUCUUUUUGAUUAUUUGAUUACAAAUAAUAACAGCCUGUGUGCAUUUUCAAAUGCAUACUAAAAUUUCCUAACCACUAAAAAUUUGCAUUUUUCAAAUGAUGAACAAAUAAAAAAAAGGUUCAAGCUUUGGGUAAAAAUUGCUUUUGACCUAUUCUCUUCCUUCAGGCUGUGGCAUGAGUAUUGUGCUGCUGCUGUAGUAUUCUUCCAGAAUUUAAGGCUAUUGGCAUCAUUAGUUAUUUAUUAAACAGAGCCAGUACCUUAAAGCAUUCAUCACUGCAGGGAAGGAGGAGAAAAUUCUCAUGAAUUUUACCUCCAAAUAUAUAUACUGUAGACUGAAUAUUUGAAAUAGGAAGAGAUUUACUUUAUGCAGUCAAUAUUCUAGAAUGCUUGUUGCAAGUAGCUGUUAAUGAAAUAUUCAUAUUUUAUUCAAUGAAUAGUUGAGAAUAGGUGAUCUUGAUAUAUUUCAUAUUUGUCUUUGCAAAGAUGUAUCCUAUUUUUAUUUUUUAUAUUUUCUCAUUUUUAUCUUGCUUGUGAGCCAUCGGGGUUACUUUUGUUGCUCAUAACCCCAGUAACUAUAGGGUAGAGGUGCUUUCUAUGGUUCAUAUUAAUGCAAGGUGCUGUGAUCUGGGGAUAGUCUGUGAAAUAGGGCAGCUGCCAGUGUGUGCUGGUGCAAGGGUGGGAUUUUUAAAAGUGUUAUGGGUUACCCUCCAUUAUUCUCAUUCAUAUGCAUGUGCAGCCAAAAUGAUAUGCAUUUGUGAAUUUAAAACAUUGUUCAAUCUACACAUUUAUAUAAUUGGUUAGAAUAUAAUUCUCUCUCUCUCUCUCUCUCUCUCUCUCUCUCUCUCUCUCUCUCUCUCUCUCUCUCUCUCUCUCUCUCUCUCUCUCUCUCUCUCUCUCUCUGAACAUUUGUAUUUUGAACAGUUUGUUUCCAUACUUCAUUAUUAUUGUGCCAAAUUAUGAAUAGCCAAUCAAUAGUAAUACAUUCUUUAAAAAUGCAUCAAGCAUAAGUUAUCAUUCUAUUGAUUAUUAUUGUAAAUGUAGAGAAAAAAAGCUGCACCCAACUCUGUACAUAUAGUUUUUAAAAAGGACACAUUCAAACUCAGGCAUCGGGAAUCAGUAGGAGGCUGCCAUAAAUUGAGCUUCCCUAAACAUUAGUGAUUUAUAGGUGCUGACAAAGUAGAGGUAAACCUGUGGUUCUUUUAUAUUAAUAUGCCAAUUAUUCACAUGUAAAAAAGAAAAAAAGCAGAUUUUCUUUUACAAUCCAAGUGCCAAGCAUAUUACGGGAAAUGGAGGGUAUUGGUGUGACGUGCAGUGGUGACCCCAGUCGCCCUCUGACUAGUGUGGGUUUAAUCUUGAUUGUCCAGGGUUGUGUCCUUUUUUUCUCUUUUAUGUUUUAUUUGAAUUUGGUUUAAUUUUCUAUCAUAGGAAGUUAUGCAAAGUAUGAAUGAGGUUUGUAUCAUUAUUUUUAGAAUUAAUCGUGUUAUUUUAUUCAAGGUAUGUAUGCAGGAAUAUUCAUUAUGAAUAUUUAUAGGAAAUUUAAGUAAUUUAAGAUAUUGUCUCAAAAUGGAGAAAAUGCCUUUUUAUGCAUUUACUUUGGAAAUGCAUUUGAAGAAAACACUGGGUUAUUUAUGCUCUCUAAGUAGUGUAGAAUUUAUUUAACACACAUCCCAGUGUGGCUAAUGUGUAUUCUAUUUUUUGUUCCUUUUUUUUGCACUGACAAGGACAGUCUUGGCAUUGCAACCUCCAUAUGAUAUUUUAACUUGCUCACCAAAGCUAUGGUAUGGUCUUCCCACUUUCUUAUCUUCAUGAAAGCCAUACAGAAUUUUAAUUGCCAUGCCAUCCUCAUGUUUAACUCCAUAGGCGGAUGGGUGCAACUUUACUUGAUUUACUUUGCUUUGUAUUUCACUAUGAGCCAACACACACACACACACACACACACACACACACACACACACACACACACACACACACACACACACACACACACACACACACACACACACACACACACACACACACACACACACACACA